Molecule: ribosomal RNA, 557 nt
Filed under: Boana raniceps (Chaco treefrog)
Lineage: Eukaryota; Metazoa; Chordata; Amphibia; Anura; Hylidae
Description: Hypsiboas raniceps (Chaco treefrog) partial 16S ribosomal RNA
Rfam family: Bacterial large subunit ribosomal RNA
Source: RNAcentral
ACAUAUAAGAGGUCCAGCCUGCCCAGUGACCUAGUUCAACGGCCGCGGUAUCCUAACCGUGCGAAGGUAGCGUAAUCACUUGUUCUUUAAAUGAGGACUAGUAUGAAUGGCACCACGAGGGUUAAACUGUCUCCUUUUUUUAAUCAGUGAAACUAAUCUCCCCGUGAAGAAGCGGGGAUUCUUUUAUAAGACGAGAAGACCCUAUGGAGCUUUAAACAAGUUAACACCUGCUGCUAAUCUUCACUUUCCUGAACCACCACAUUAAAUAUAGCACCUCUGAUUAACAGUUUUCGAUUGGGGUGAUCAUGGAGCAAAAAUCAACCUCCACGACGAAAAGGAACACCUCCUUGAGCCAAAAGCUACAACUUUAAGCACUAAAAAACUAACGCACUUUGACCCAAUUCUUUGAGCAACGAACCAAGUUACCCUAGGGAUAACAGCGCAAUCCACUUUAAGAGCUCCUAUCGACAAGUGGGUUUACGACCUCGAUGUUGGAUCAGGGUAUCCCAGUGGUGCAGCCGCUACUAAAGGUUCGUUUGUUCAACGAUUAAAACCCU